GACGAACGCUGGCGGCGUGCUUAACACAUGCAAGUCGAACGAUGAAGAAGAGCUUGCUCUUCGGAUUAGUGGCGAACGGGUGAGUAACACGUGACUAACCUGCCCCUUUCUCUGGGAUAACGCUCCGAAAGGAGUGCUAAUACCGGAUACUCACAUCGAGGCACAUGCCUUGAUGUGGAGAGGUUUUCGGAAAGGGAUGGAGUCGCGGCCUAUCAGCUUGUUGGUGAGGUAACGGCACACCAAGGCGACGACGGGUAGCCGGCCUGAGGGGGCGACCGGCCACACUGGGACUGAGACACGGCCCAGGCUCCUACGGGAUGCAGCAGUGGGGAAUAAUGCACACUGGUCGAAAGCCUGAUGCAGCGACGCCGCGUGUGGGAUGAAGGUCUUCGGAUUGUAAACCUCUUUCAGUAGGGACGAAGCGAAAGUGACGGUACCUAAAGAAGAAGCACCGGCUAACUACGUGCCAGCCGCCGCAGUAA
Molecule: ribosomal RNA, 482 nt
Filed under: uncultured bacterium
Lineage: Bacteria
Description: partial 16S ribosomal RNA
Rfam family: Bacterial small subunit ribosomal RNA
Source: RNAcentral